CACGAAAGUUCUUCUGUUUUAAAAAAACACUCAAGGAAAUUGAAUUUGUAGUGAAGAUGCUACAUUAAAGUGGUUAGACGAGAAGUCCCCAUGGAGCUUUACUGAAAGCCGAAAAGAAAUUUUUUUUAUUUAUUUAUCGGCUAGACAGUUUUGUUGGGGUGAUAGUUUUUUAAAAAGUAACGAAAACGAACUAUGACGCAUGUUUCACUCUGAAAACUGGAAGAGACAUUUUGGGUGUGUUUUAUGAUCUAUUGUUUUGAAUGAAAAAGAUAAUGAAAGCA
RNAcentral lists this ribosomal RNA (281 nucleotides) under Caryophyllia versicolorata. RNAcentral's name for it is "partial 16S ribosomal RNA". It matches the Rfam family "Bacterial large subunit ribosomal RNA", at positions 2003 to 2454 of the family's 2925-position model. Lineage: Eukaryota; Metazoa; Cnidaria; Anthozoa; Scleractinia; Caryophylliidae. The record is from RNAcentral.